GCCGGAGUGGCGGAAUGGCAGACGCAGCGGACUCAAAAUCCGCCGGGCUUUGGCCUGUGGGGGUUCGAGUCCCCCCUCCGGCACCA
This 86-nucleotide transfer RNA is filed under the name Synergistaceae bacterium. RNAcentral's name for it is "tRNA-Leu". It matches the Rfam family "tRNA". From Rfam's summary of the family: Transfer RNA (tRNA) molecules are approximately 80 nucleotides in length. Their secondary structure includes four short double-helical elements and three loops (D, anti-codon, and T loops). Further hydrogen bonds mediate the characteristic L-shaped molecular structure. tRNAs have two regions of fundamental functional importance: the anti-codon, which is responsible for specific mRNA codon recognition, and the 3' end, to which the tRNAs corresponding amino acid is attached (by aminoacyl-tRNA synthetases). tRNAs cope with the degeneracy of the genetic code in two manners: having more than one tRNA (with a specific anti-codon) for a particular amino acid; and 'wobble' base-pairing, i.e. permitting non-standard base-pairing at the 3rd anti-codon position. Lineage: Bacteria; Thermotogati; Synergistota; Synergistia; Synergistales; Synergistaceae. RNAcentral also lists the same sequence under 3 other names. The record is from RNAcentral.